RNAcentral lists this long non-coding RNA (392 nucleotides) under Capra hircus (goat). RNAcentral's name for it is "lncRNA (ENSCHIG00010020748.1)". Lineage: Eukaryota; Metazoa; Chordata; Mammalia; Artiodactyla; Bovidae. The record is from RNAcentral.
AGCCCUCACAGUCCCCUGAGCUGGGCGCCCCAGCAUGCCCUUCCUUCGCCUCUAAGUCGAAUCAGAAAUCCUCAGGGGGCCUUGGGAAAGGCAUUGUCCAAGUGGCUCAGUGAUAAAGAACCCACCUGCCAAUGCAGAGGGCACAGGUUCAACCCCUGGUCUGGGAAGACAUCGCAGAUGCCCACAGAGCAAAUAAGUUCAUGGGCCAUCACUACGGAGCCUGCGCUCUAGAGCCCAGGAACUGAAAUUAUCGAGCCCACGUGGCCUAGAGCUCCGUGCUCCCCAACAAGAGAAGUUAUCGCAAUGAGAAGCCCUCACACACCAAGAAAGAGGAGCCCCCCGCUCGCCGCAACUAGAGAAAAACCCAAGCAGCAAGGAAGACCCAGCACAGU